This 4370-nucleotide long non-coding RNA is filed under the name Brassica rapa (field mustard). RNAcentral's name for it is "long non-coding RNA (BRAP_LNC007405)". Lineage: Eukaryota; Viridiplantae; Streptophyta; Magnoliopsida; Brassicales; Brassicaceae. The record is from RNAcentral.
GUAGCUUCAGUGUCCUCAAGCUUGACAAUCCUGAUAUCCCAUCUAAACUCUCAAGGCACUUUGUACUCUCCAAAUUCAGAUGUAUUAGCAUUUUCAACUGUUCUAAACCAAAAGGUAAUUCUGAUAUACUUGUAUGUGACAAGUUAAGGUAUCUCAAGGAAACCAGAUUGCACAUAUCCAUUCGAAAUCCACUGAGAAUACAAUCUGAUAAAUCCAAAACCAGAAGCUUUGGCAUAGACUGAAAAAAUCCAUCUGAUAUCUCUUCCAGAGAGCGGUUUUCUCGAAGGAUGACGGUUGUAAGUUCAGGACAGUCAGGGCUCUCAGAUAUGAUUUGAAUAUCAUUUGCCAUCAACGAAAUUCUUCUCACAUCUUUCCAGUUCUUCACUUUGGGUAUUUCACGUAUCCCGGCACGAGCUUGUACGAUACAUCUUUCUUUAUUCUUUCCUAGAUCCGAAGCUAUCCACAUGGCCAUCUCCCGCACCACAUCAUGCAAUUUUACAUAUUCUUCGGCUGCGUAUCUUAUUUCCUCAACCAACAACAAACAUGCACGGACAAGGGUCCCGAGUAUCUCAUAACCUUGGCUCAUUGCCCUCUCUCUACCUUCCUUCUCAUCAAUGAACCCCUCACCUAUCCAGUACUCUAUCAAUCUCUCUUUAUCAAUAUAACCAUCUUCAGGAAACAGAGAGCAAUACAGAAAACAUGACUUGGUCAUCUCACCAUCCAAGUUAUCGUAGCUAUACUUCAAUAUCGGAAGAAUCUCAUCUUCAACGCCUGAAAACUCUGUGGCAGAUGAAGUCAACACAUCAACUGCUCGACGCCACUCUUGUACUGAUCUUUUGCUCGCCAUUGUUUCACCAAUGACAUUAAGUGCCAAUGGUAGGCCACGACAUUUCCCAGCGACUUUUCUUGCGAGCUCGGGAAUGUCUGGGUGCCUUCCCAGUGUAUGUUCUCCGACUUUCCUUUUGAACAAAUCCCAGGCUUUGUCUGUGUCCAGACAAUGGACUUCGAUCGGGUCAUCAACUCCCAUGCGCCCACACACAUCUCGAGAGCGGGUGGUAAAUACUACUUUGCUUCUGGUUUCUCUGCUUGGAUAUGGGACUCCAAUCUUACUUAAAUUCACUUUCUCCCAUAUGUCAUCCAGAAACAACACAAAUUUCUUCCUCCUGAGAACGUUGUGGAUGUCAUGGGCUCUCUCCACGUCGCUUUUCUCGUCCCACUCUUUCCCCCCAACGCCUAGCUUUUCACCGAUGCUCCCUUGAAUCUUAUGGACUGUUGCAUUUUGUGACACCACAACCCAUAUCACAACAUUAAACCCACCAUCUCGUUUAGAAAACCUAUUGUUGAUCUGCGUGAGAAGGGUGGUUUUGCCAACCCCACCCAUACCAUACAGACCCACCAUCCCAACUUCAUCUUCCAUCAGACGGCUCCAUACCAUUUCGAGCAUUGUUUCCUGACCUAUUGUUGGUUGGAUAGGCAACUCUUCACCCUCAGCUAUAGGAGCUGCAUCAGUCACCACAUCAAAUUCUCCCUGGGAACUAAGACUCUCUACCUCCCUCAACAUUACCAUAACCCUUUUCCCAUAAAGAUAACUCUUUUCCACAUUUUUAGAAAAAAAUCGACAAAGACACAACCUUUGAAGCUCAAGGUCACUAGUCCUAAGAAGCUCAUCAUAUUGGUUUUCCAUUGUGAGGAUACUCGUAAGCCAUACCUGGACUUGAUCAAGCCUUCGACGAUGUCCAGCAAACUCUUCUCUGUCUACCCUUACUUGAACAUCAUCUCUCUUAGCCUUGAGAGCUCGCAUGGCUUUAUGGAGAGUCGCUAGAUUCUGCGGGAGGUUGUGGAUAUAACUUCCCUUGAGGCAUAGACAUUGGGAGACUUGAUUCACCACUUGAUCACAUGACACUGAGACAGAGAAACAACCUCCCAUUGCUGCACAGACGAGAGAGAGAGAGAGAGAGAUAGGGCACAAAUCAUAGAACACAGCCAGAAGCUAAGCAAUUAUUAAAAGGGAAGGAAAGAGAAGAUAAGGUUGUUGAGUAAUGCUGUCUCCGGAAAAGCAAAGGUGCAUAUUGCAUAAGUCCAAAGGUGCUAAUUUUAAAAAAUAUUUAUAGCAAAAAGCAAUUAUUCUUAGUCUUUUUAGCCUACUCCUUCAGAAGUGUUUGCCACUUUCUUACAUAUUAUGGAAACAAUUUAUAAAUGUCAGAACGAUUUGAAGAUUGAUGAUCGAGGAACAGAUAUCACAGAUCUUCACAAAGUUUCAAAUUCCGAACCAUUUUUGCGGACUACAUCGAACGCAGUCGAGAAGUGCCAAGAGUAGGUCUGUAUAUUUCAUUUUUUUUACUCAACCAUCUUCAACAACAGUAAAAAGAUAAAAACAAUCGCUAAGGAUCAUCUCAAACAGACAUCAAAGUGUUUUACGAGUUUAUGGUUCAUUCAACAGAAGCAUAAACUGAUAAACAGAAAACAGCCGUAUGAUAGAAGAAAGAGGAGUGCGUUGCAGAUCAAGCAACAGAGUAAGCACAAAGGAAUAUUAUUGUGUUCACUGAGCUAAUUUAUCAAACACGUGGUGUGCACUUGGUUCCACUAGCUCACUCCCAGCUAAAGUUAACUCGAACUCAAUCUCCUAAGCAAUUAGAUCGAUGAAAGUACACAUCUAUAAUGAUAAACCGAUCCAAAAACUCUUGUUUUAGAAAAAAAAAUGAGGACCAACUGCUUUUCAUUCUCUUGUUUUGUUUCUUUGUAUCUGUUUUUUUCUCUGGCGGGAAUUUAUGAUUCUGUGUGUUUGAUCCGGCGAUUCAGAUAACGCCACGUGUUUUUGACGAUCAAUCAUUGGCUCAUGUUCUUAUUUGGAUUCAGAUACAUAGUGGUGUACAGAGACGAGGUUCAUAUCAAAUCAAAAUACAUUUACAUUUGAAGUCUCAACAAUCGACAAAGCAAGCAUGAAAAAAAUUGCAUUGUUCAUUACAAUAACAUUAACAAAGAAGACCACAAACUUUUAGCAUAGAGAUAUACAAUAAAACAUAAAAAAAAAACUUUGUUCGUUAUACAUUUUGAGAGCAAAUCAAGAAACGCUCUUCAGUAGCAUUAUCUUCCCACUGAACCCUUUCUAACCAUUGAUCUUUACAGUAAGUCUGAAACUUGUCAUUAGUCUUUGCAACCAAUAAUGAUUGGCUUAAGAGCACGAGCCUCAGAAGAAGAAGAAAAAAACAGUAAUCUUGAUCUCAGGUGGUGGCACAAAUUCAAAGAGAGACAUUUAUUAGACUUACAAGAAAACGAAAGACGGUCUGGAAACAGGGUAGAAGAAAGAGAGUAGGCAAACGCAAUUUCAGAAGAAGAAGAAAAAAAGAAGAGAAACAGAACAAUAGUUUAUAAGAUUAUCCGGUUUUCAAGUCCUACAUAAAGGUAAGAAACGGAGUCUUGUGGCUUCGUCCUCCCAUUCAAUUCUUUCUAUCCAUUCUUUAUCAGGGCACUCUAUGACCAACUUUUCAACGUUAAGGACGCUUUUAGAAUUCAGAGGAAGCUUUCUCAGCUUCGGACAGUCACUGCGUAUGUAGAGUUUUCUCAGACGUUGAAAUGGCAGAGCAUUCCAGUAGAUGCUCUUCAGCUCAGGCAAAUCGGUCAAGUAAAGAAAUUCUAGUUUCUGGAAAGGAAUAAUAAUAUUAUUCUCUAAAACACUCUCAGCUUUCUCUUUGCUUAUUAUCUCCUCUAGUUGCACUGAGUCAGCCACACGAAGAUGAGCAAGGUUCGGAGCGAACAACAGCCACGUCAAAUCCUUUAGACCGUUACAAGAUUGUAUAUCUACUUGAGUGAGGUUUGAGAAGCAUGGACUUGACAGGCUUUUGUUCCAUGGUGUCUUCUCUAUCUUUAUCUCCUCCAACAUUUCACACCUGCGUAUGAAGAGUUCACAGAGACCAUCCAAAGAUGGCAAAACUAUUACUUUUACUCGCUCUUCCCCAAACAACUCCUCAAUACGAACAUGUUGGAUGCAUCUUCCAAUUCUGGGGUCAUGGAACAAUUUCUCCCCAACCAAAGUACUUGACGAGAUACUUACGGUUAUAUACUCUAUAUGUUGUAAGAGCUGCAGCUCCUUCAUGAGGCUCAUAUCUAGCCGCACUCUGCAACCUCGUAGCUUCAGUGUCCUCAAGCUUGACAAUCCUGAUAUCCCUUCUAAACUCUCAAGGCUCGUCCCCUCCAAAUUCAGAUGUGUUAGCAUUUUCAACCGUUCUAAACCAAAAGGUAAUUCUGAUAUCUUUGUCCCUAACAAGUUAAGGUAUCUCAAGGAAACCAGAUUGCACAUAUCCAUUCGAAAUCCACUGAGAAUACAAUCUGAUAAAUCCAAAACCAGAAGCUUUGGCAUAGACUGAAAGAAU